RNAcentral lists this long non-coding RNA (2048 nucleotides) under Homo sapiens (human). RNAcentral describes it as "HSALNT0000530". The record is from RNAcentral. Lineage: Eukaryota; Metazoa; Chordata; Mammalia; Primates; Hominidae.
GCAGACUUCAAACCUUGCAGAAACCUGUGAAUGAUGGAUGGGACAUGCAUUUGCCUCUAGGACUGAAGGAAGAGGAGACAAUUUGAUGCCACCAAACCACCAGAUAUUUGGCUAAGAUGCCCGCCCAGCUUCAACUGACAUACACACAACAGCACGACUUUCCAGCAAAAGUUCAACAUUGGCUGGGCACGGAGGCUCAUGCCUGCAAUCUCAGCACUUUGGGAGGCCACGGGGGAGGAUCCCUUGAGGCCAGGAGUUUGAGACCAGCCUGGGAAACAUAGUGAGACCCCAUCUCUACAAAAAAUAGAAAAUUAUCUGGGUGCAGUGACAUGCCUCUGUGGUCCCAGCUCCUCCAGAAGCUGAGGUGCAAGGAUCCCUUGAACCCGGGAGGUGGAGGCUACAGUGAGCUGAGAUCGUGCCACUGCACUCCAGCCUGGGCCACAGAGCAAGACCUUGUCUCUUAAAAGAAAAAGAAGAAAAUUGAAUGUUAAUUUUAUGCCCCAGAUAAUAGAGGAGCGUGAAGAAAAUGGCAAUAGGGUGUGGCUUAUCCUGAAUGAAUCGGAUCCAGUGAGUCAAGAUCAACGCUGCUUCUCAGAGGUGAUCAGCACCAAGAUAUCCUCAGAUAAGCUCUUCGCAGAUAUUGAAGGGAUUGCGACCAUGAACCACUCUCACUGCUUAGUUCCAAAGCUCAGGAAGGAAAGACAGGGAGGGCGGGGCACUGUCCGGAGGCAGUGAUGGCGUGCUGGCCGCAGUGGGUGCAUGGACUUUGCAGAUGUGGAGUCUGCACCUCCUCCUACAUUUGCUGAGCACCUACUUCAUCCAAUACACCACCAAGGAGAAGACGGACAAGACCCCUGUUCUGGAGGGGGAAGAAUAAAAAUAAUGCCUCUCACCGGGGGCCGGGCCAAGCUCUGGGCACCUCUUCAUGAAUUAACUCCUAAAUUAAUCCAUGGAAGGGACACGUGGGAAGGGGCACGUGUGCAGAGCACAGGCUCGGACAGGAACCCCGGGAACACAGGGAGGUCAGUGCUUCUGUACCCAAAGGACCCCUCUCGGCAGGGGCCAGUGAGCAGCCGGGAAGGGGGCCUUGGAGUUGAGACCUGUUGGGCUUGUUAGAGCCCCGUUCCUUGAUUUAAGAAAGCAGGCUAGGGCUGGGUGCAGUGGCUCACGCCUGUAAUCCCAGCACUUUGGGAGGCCGAGGCGGGCGGAUCACGGGGUCAGGAGUUCGAGACCAGCCUGGCCAACAUGGUGAAAUUCCGUCUGUACUAAAGAUACAAAAAAAUAACCGAGCGUGGUGGCAGGUGCCUGUAAUCCCACCUACUCGGGAAGCUGUGGCAGGAGACUUGCUUGAACCUGGGAGGCAGAAGUUGCAGUGAGCCGAGAUUGUGCUCCAGCCUGGGUAACAGAGCCAGAUUCCAUCUCGAAAAAUAACAUAACAUAACAUAACAUAACAUAACAUAACAUAACAUAACAUAACAUAACAUAAAUAAAGCAAGCAAACUGGAACCAGCCUCAUUCUUCCACUUCCCACAGUAGGGAUUGGGCUGGAAAUUCCGAAGCAAAUCCCUCUCUGCACUUUCCUCCACCUGCCCCUGUGCGGCCAGGGCCCUUCAUCCAGAAGCACGCAGCCUCGGGGACAGCUUCGCCAUUUUUAAGUGUUUUCACGAGGGGUUGACACUGUGCUGUCAGCGACAUCGCGAGCCCAGAAGUGAAUAACUGACACAACAAUGAUUAAAGUUUGUGAGCAGCUUCAGGAAAUGGCAGCGCAACUUUAUGUUCAAAAGAUCCAAGGCAGGAGAGUCUGCAGGGACUGGCCCCCUCCCCACCCACCGCCGGCGCAGCCAGAAGCAGCCACGCAGACGUGCGACCCCCCACAAACCGCCUCGGGACGAGGUUCUGCCGCGCCCGUGGGCCACAGUGUCCACGCGGGGCUUGUGCCGGUGUCGCCUCCCAUGAAGACACCCGGAGGGUCCCGUCUGCGGCGCGUGAGGGCAGCGGUCCCGGAGAGCCAGACCCCGGCCAGGGAGAGCUGCCCGCGAGGGAGGGGG